RNAcentral lists this transfer RNA (86 nucleotides) under Felis catus (domestic cat). It matches the Rfam family "tRNA". From Rfam's summary of the family: Transfer RNA (tRNA) molecules are approximately 80 nucleotides in length. The record is from Rfam by way of RNAcentral. Lineage: Eukaryota; Metazoa; Chordata; Mammalia; Carnivora; Felidae.
GCCCAGGUGGCUCAAUCUGUUACAGUGUCUGACUUCGGCUUAGGUCAUGAUCUCAGAGUUUGUGGGUUUGAGCCCCGUUUUGGGCU